GGAUGUGACAGUGACUUCACUGUGACAUCUGUCAACCCAUGAAUCAGCAGCGUCAGUCACUUCAGCUGAUUUGGUUGGCUAGGUGUGUAUCCACUUCCUCCCUCUCUGCUCACUGCUGAAGCUGCUUGCUCUAGAAUAAAGGAGGAGCAGUCUUUGCUCAAGAGUAUAUGAGUAACUUGGUCCCUUGCUAGAACCUCCAAAGAAUCAUUCAAGGUCCAUUUUUUAUUUUUAUUUAUGUGUGUCUGUGUAAAUAGGACACACAUUUUCAAUUGCCUACAAAGAUCAGUAGUUACAGUCACAGGCGGUUGUAAACUGC
This 316-nucleotide small nuclear RNA is filed under the name Mus spretus (western wild mouse). Its description in RNAcentral is "predicted gene, 56241 (ENSMSPG00010000963.1)". It matches the Rfam family "7SK RNA". Rfam says of the family: 7SK was discovered as an abundant small nuclear RNA in the mid-70s but a possible function has only recently been suggested. Two independent studies have found that 7SK RNA binds the CDK9/cyclin T complex (known as elongation factor P-TEFb). P-TEFb activates transcription by phosphorylating the C-terminal domain of RNA polymerase II. The record is from RNAcentral. Lineage: Eukaryota; Metazoa; Chordata; Mammalia; Rodentia; Muridae.